GGCGCCGUAGCCAAGUGGUUAGGCAGCGGAUUGCAAAUCCGUCUACUCCGGUUCGAAUCCGGACGGCGCCU
Molecule: transfer RNA, 71 nt
Filed under: Planctomycetota bacterium
Lineage: Bacteria; Pseudomonadati; Planctomycetota
Description: Planctomycetes bacterium tRNA-Cys
Rfam family: tRNA
About the family: Transfer RNA (tRNA) molecules are approximately 80 nucleotides in length. Their secondary structure includes four short double-helical elements and three loops (D, anti-codon, and T loops). Further hydrogen bonds mediate the characteristic L-shaped molecular structure. tRNAs have two regions of fundamental functional importance: the anti-codon, which is responsible for specific mRNA codon recognition, and the 3' end, to which the tRNAs corresponding amino acid is attached (by aminoacyl-tRNA synthetases). tRNAs cope with the degeneracy of the genetic code in two manners: having more than one tRNA (with a specific anti-codon) for a particular amino acid; and 'wobble' base-pairing, i.e. permitting non-standard base-pairing at the 3rd anti-codon position.
Source: RNAcentral